RNAcentral lists this ribosomal RNA (344 nucleotides) under uncultured bacterium. Its description in RNAcentral is "bacterial SSU rRNA". It matches the Rfam family "Bacterial small subunit ribosomal RNA", at positions 1 to 353 of the family's 1533-position model. The record is from RNAcentral.
UAGAGUUUGAUCCUGGCUCAGAUUGAACGCUGGCGGCAGGCCUAACACAUGCAAGUCGAGCGGUUGACGGGAGCUUGCUCCCUGAUUCAGCGGCGGACGGGUGAGUAAUGCCUAGGAAUCUGCCUAUUAGUGGGGGACAACGUUUCGAAAGGAACGCUAAUACCGCAUACGUCCUACGGGAGAAAGCAGGGGACCUUCGGGCCUUGCGCUAAUAGAUGAGCCUAGGUCGGAUUAGCUAGUUGGUGGGGUAAUGGCUCACCAAGGCGACGAUCCGUAACUGGUCUGAGAGGAUGAUCAGUCACACUGGAACUGAGACACGGUCCAGACUCCUACGGGACGCAGCA